CAUAUCUUUCUGGCAUGCACAUCUCUGGCAGCGGGGCUGGGGGGCUUCAAUGCUUGUAGGAGCCAAUAUCCAGACAAUUCUUGCACCCCCUGAGCUGCUGCAUCCCUCGUUUUCUUUGUGUUUUAACUCACAGCAUUUCCUGGCCUUGACAUUGACAGAGACUUGUGAGUCUUUGGUCAGCCCCUCCUUCCAAAAGAUCAUCUGGUGGCAGAUGGCCCAAGGCAAAGGGAGGCUCAAGGGGAAGCGUACCAGCAUAGUCUUCACCUGAGGACCCCAAGGAACACCACGGCAUCCACAAAAUUUCUGUCAGAGGUGGACCUACUUUGGAACAAGCAUCUCCUGCUUGCUACAGGAACUUGCAUUUCUUUGUUUCAUAUUCCUCAAGCAAAAAGAAAAAUACAUCUUCAGCUGACUAAGAUGCCAGAGCAGCGCUGCUCUUUGCCUGGGGCAGACAGAGAGGAGCAGCCCAGUCUGAAGCUCUGAUCUAUGGGUCCUGCCCGGCUGCAGGCACCACCUCCAGGGCUGCUUCUGCACCCGGAUAAGCACUGGGGAGGAAACAAAAGGGGAGCAUGACAGCCUCAUUCACUUGCUAAUAGGCUACUGGAAGAAAGACAUCAAAUCUACAAUUACCAUGCAAGGACACAGUCCAGCUUGCUAAGAACAGAGGAAAAGCAAGAAUGGCAAAGGAGGAGAGGAAAUGGAUUAGGUUUUCCACAAGCACCCCGAAAUCCACGCUUCCUACUCAACAGGAGCCCCGGGAGGUUGAGCAGGGCUGUGACACCAAACUGUUGAACACGAAUCAAGCACUUUUUUUUGGCUCUGGUUAGAAAAAUCCUUUCUUGCAGAGCUGCCAUAGUUCAUGUGCUUAGAGCAACAGUGUACAAAGAGAAGGGUUGGGGUUUUUUGGGAAGGAAGGUGGAAAAAAAAAAGAGCACAAACCCUGCACUGGGAAAGCCACACCGAUGAGCUUGUUAACAUUUGAAGAGACUGCUUGGCAUGAUUCCUUACGCAGAUUCCUGCCAAGAAUUUGCAAGAGGAAAGUAUAUUUAGCAAUCCAAGGCAUGCCAAAGCCUUGACAAGAGAGAAAAAAAAAAAAAAAAAAACCUUUUUGAAUAUGUGGAAUAGCAAUUAGACAUUUUCUAAGCAGCCAUUUUCAAAAUGCAUCCAGGCAUCUAAUAAGGGCACCUGAGGCAUAUCCACAACUCUGCCACACUCCGUGGCUCAAAAGACAUCCGCUGAGAUCAAAUACUCGGAGGAAGGAUGUGUUACCGAUGGCAACUGCCCACUUCCAGAGCACUGGGGCCAGUUUCAAGCAGGCACCUCAAGCCGUUGGAAAUACACAAUCUCAUGCCACCGCAAAUCAUUUUGUAGCAUCCUUUAAGGAACCAUUUCUCCAAGGAAAUGGGAGCCCUGCUGCAUAGCUGGGUAGCAGAGAGAUGUCACCCACCCACUUCCAUAGGAGCUGGGCCAGCUCUGUGAUGCAAUUUUUCCCCAAGUGGAGCUGCUGAAAAUCCAGGUAGGAUGAGCAGCAGGUGGAAGCAAGGAUAAUACAUAAAAUCAGAUGGUGACUUGCAGCCCAUUAAAGUGGUGCUCACGUCAUUCUCUAAAUCUGUCUGCUUCUCUUGUUGUCCAGCAUUCUGAGCUGCAUGCAAAGCCAGCAAUAUACUUCAUCACUAAAUUUCCUUUCUUUCUAGGGAGAAACCUAGAAGUUAGUCCCAAGACAGGGUUAGUCUGCACCAGGAAGGUGACUCACCUGCAUCAGUCACUCUUGUUUCUGAAGUGCCAUUGAAAUCUCCUUGGGAUGCAGCAUGGAGGAAGGAGCUUAGGAAGGCCAUGAGCAACCCCUGGUUGUACUCAAGGAGGAAAGCAGCUGACCAUACAAGAACAAAGCAUUUGAUGCUCAUGAAAGUUAGAAAUCACACUGGAAUAUGCUCCUUAAAACAUGAUGCCCAUGGUUUAUAACUGCCAGACUGUGUUACAGUCAAAUUCCUAAGACACCAAGCCAAAAGGGAGCACCUGCACACAGGCUGAGUUCACUCCACCCUUAAGUCAGGACAUGCAGAAAGAGCAACCAACCCCUGUGGCUGAGGCUUCUCAUUCCUGUAAGCCCUAAACCCCCAGUCUUUAAUAUGGGGCAUAACAGCAGUGGUGCCCCCAAGACUUAGCAUUGUGAUCCUGGACAGACCAAAGAGAGUGUUGGUGACCAAGAGGGGGCAGGAAGCACAAAGGGGGUAAAGCCAAAGCAAUUGUUUUGUUUUGGAAACAAAGAAAUACUUAACAGAAAUCAGAAUGAGGAAAGCUGCCCUGAGCUUGUUCAGUUUUUUAUUUCCAAGUUCCUCUGGGCUCCUGAAACACCUUUUGGUACCUGAAAUGCCACACUGAUUACAGCUACCAUCCCCUUAGGUUACAUCCUUGAUCCUGAAAUAAAAAUCCCAUGGGACUGACAGACUGCUCUAAGAAAGAGGUCCCCUUCUCACUUGCUCUUCAAAAGUAACCAAGAUAAACUAACCUGCACAGCCACAUCUACAGAACAUUCAGUCAGAUUUAAAGUCUCAGUUUCCAUCAAACCCUUCUCCAAUUCCCAGAGCUGUUGUAAUCCAGAUGGGUCUGGCAUUGCCAUAAGCUCACACCUUCCAGGACAGGUAUCAGCUCUCUGCUUCUACAGCAUCUAAGACAACUCUAUCCAAGUUCCUGACUAAGGCUUAACAGCAAAUGUACUGAAAGCAGUAAGCAAUUAUGUUUAGAAUUCCUGUUUUCACCCUAGAUUCCCAGAGGAAACACCAAAUUUGGAUGAUCACCCUGCCGAAUCACAUAGUUGUCAAUACAAAUUUCUCCUAGUAUAUACAGAGCAUUUGGACUGAGCACUGACACAAAUUCAGCUUUGCUAGAGGUGACAAAUGACUACAAAAUCCUUACGUCCAACCUGCCCAUUCCUAUUUUAACCUCCUGAUGUCUUUUGUCACGGACAAUCGAAAAGACUGCCGUGGUGUGUUUUAGGGGGCAAGCACGAGCCGCUGAGCAGAGCAGCUGAGGCAGGAGCGCCGGAGCGCAGAGGCGCGGCCGGGCAGGAGGGAAGCCGAGGGAUGCAGCGGCCCCGCACACCGCGCAGCAGAGCGGCAGUGGCGCCCGCUGGCCGCUCGCAGCAUUGCCAGCGCAUCCUUCCUCCGCCCGGCCCUCGCCUCGGGGAAACGGCCGGCACUGGCAGCCUCGAAGAUUCACCCGCACCAAAUGCCUCAGCCGAGGAGCACACAGGGGUAGCACGGCACAAGAAGCCCAGGGGAUCUGCGGGCACAGCUCAUCGCGCGGGGAUGCCGGUAGGACCACACAAUCCAGGUCAAAAAGAUCGUGUCACAUCCUUAACUUCUCUUUGCAUUUCUACCCUGCCCAGCUUCCACCCUCUGCAAAUAGAAAUCCAAAGGGUAACUAAUAACCUCCUCAGCAGGAAUAGAAGUCAUCUCAGAUAAGAUACCUGUGCAGCCAUCCGGGGAUAUCAACACAGUGAAACAUAUCCUCUGCACCUGUUAAUGAACAGCCAUUCAUACUUCAGAGCAGUUGAGAAAGCUUCAUCAGAAACCUGUACUUCAAUUACGACCUCAGCAUUAAUGAAGAAAGCACAGAGGUGUGCAGUCAUGUCUCACCACAUGGAAAUGUGACCCAAGCACACUGAAUCAAGAAUAAAAAGCAAUAUAAAGAACCAUGCUGCCCUGCCCAUGAGGAAGCAGAGGGGCAGGGGCUGAUCUCUCUGCUGAUCAGUAACAGGACCCAAAGGAACGUCAUUAAGUUGUGACAGGGGAGGUUUAAGCUGGAUUUUAGGAAAAGGUUCUUCAUCCAGAGAGUGGAUGGGCACUGCAACUGGCUUCCCAGGGAAGUGGUUAGACCACAAAGCCAGUUAGGAUAUGAGGAUAUGCAGAUUCACAUGAAUGACACCAGAUACCUGAAUACAAUGAUUGAUUUUAGUUUGAAGCCCCGAAUUAAAAGGAAAAAUGAAAAGUUUGGUAAACAAGUUCAGUGUCCCUGCAGUCAAACUUGUGAGCCACAGACUUUUUGCAACUUGGGAAGAAGUUCCUACUUAGGUCCAACUUUGAAUUAAUCUUCUGAAGAUGUCAGGGUCAUUAAUGAAUCAUUAUUGCUACUUAUCACUACCCAAAUCCAUGUAAAGCUUAAUUUGGAGUAAAAAUAAGCAACCCCUCUGCUACUUCCUUGCUAUUUUUUCUCCAGCAGAAAAAUUUGUUUAUAAAUUUUGUUAAUAACCGAAGUUAUUAACAAGACUUUUGUUUCCUGACCUGGAUUGUUUAGGGAUGGGAGAUGCAGUCACCAGAAAAUCCCCAGACAAAACCAAAUUGGAACUCAUGAGUCAGACCAUAAAAGAUGUUCUAGCAUCUUGACAGUUUAAAUGGAUUAUUUGGAGGCAAUUAUUAACUUAAACAGCAGCUUUUUCACCAAGACUGAAUGUCCAAAGGAUAGGGUCAACGUGAAAAUUUAUUGUUGCAACUCAGUGUGGGUUAGGUGACUCAAACAUCCGGACACAAGAGCCUGCUACCAGAACAGGGAGCAAAGCCUUCAGGUGGACUAACCCUGAGAUCUGCACACACCAGAACACUCCACGGGCUGUGGUACACAGUUUUCUGUGGCUGGUGCUGAAGGAUUAGCAGCACCAGCCAGCAGCAGAGCACAAGUUGCUUUUACCAUUCCGGUCAAAAUGCUCUUUUUCUCUCCAUCUUGCAGCACAUGGCCCAGUCCCUUGAGGAAAUGGGAAAAGGCAGAGACGUUUUAUGUGUUCUCUCUUCCCCCCCCUUCCAUCUACCCAUUCCUCCACUUGUGGAGCUCUACUCUAUUCCUCGAGGCACAGAUGUGAAGGACAUUCCAAGAUGAGCCAAGCUUCUUCAAGUUAUUUAAGCUUUCCUCAGAUUCACCUCAGUGUAUUCAAGCAAUGAAAUGUGCAAUUAACUAGAAAGGGAAGUGGUUUUUAAUAGCUUCACCAGUAACCAGGGCCACUCUAACUACUGGGAAGCACUUCUAGUGUCUCCAUAGUUACACCUAUAAAUACAGAACAGUGCACUGGGUUUGCAUGGCAAGGUUUGGCAGUGGGAGGGCUACAGGGGCAGCCUCUGGGAGAAGCUGCCAGAAGCUUCCCUGUGUCUGACAAAACCAAUGUCAGCCCAGUCCAGCACGGACCCACCACUCACCAAGGAGGAGCCCACUGGAAUGAUGGUAGUGUCUGCGGUAACAGAUUAAAGGAGAAAAAAACCCAAACAGCAAUUGCAGCCAGAGAGGGGAGUGAGUAUGAGAGGAACAGGUCUGCAGGUACCCAGGCCACUGCAGCAGAAACAGGAGAUGCUCCAGGCACCUUUGAGAGACUGAAAUUUUAAGGGUUAAUGACACAAUCAUCCUUUUCAAAAGCAGCUGGUGAAAUGCAUGACUUUAAACCAACUUUUGUUUAGGAACAAACUGGUUUUGAGCCAGAUGAGGGAGAAGACCAUUAAGAAGCAGAUCCUUCGAGAUGGGAAAAUGCUUUUUAUCACACCAAUGUCCUCCCUUACACCACUGGCUGAGAUGUAAAACUCCUCCUCCUCCCUUUCCCCCCUCCCCUGGAAGGUAUUGGGACAUUGAUAUGCACAGGUAGGCGUGACAGCAUUCACGCCUGGCUCAGCUAGGAUGAGGUGAGGCAGCUGUCAUGGCUUGGUCAUAAACCAUCAAAGACCCCCAAAGUUACACCCGACAGUGGAAACCCCACCCCCUUCAGGGGAGGAACCUGGGCAUUCCCACCACGCUGAAGAUACUAACCCAGGGAACUUGGUGUUUCAGGGGCUCUUCCACCUCCCACAGAUCAAGACUGUGACCACCACCUCAACUAAAGGACACUGAAGUCACCCACAAUCAAGUCUUGUCACUGGAUCCAUGGGUGGUGGUAUUUGUCAUGUUUUCCUCUUUUUUUUUUCCUGAUUUGCUUAUAUAUGUAUGUUUUAUACUUUUAUGUUGCUAUUUCUGUAGCUAACCAAAACAGCUACACAGCUCCUUUCCACUGCAACCAAAUUAUUCUAAAAUGAAUCUGCCAUCCCAGACCUACAGCCCAUGGAGAGCUCCAUGCUGGAGCAGGGCUGUUUAAAGAAG
This is a long non-coding RNA of Motacilla alba alba, 6111 nucleotides long. RefSeq lists it as uncharacterized. NCBI's taxonomy places the organism in Eukaryota, Metazoa, Chordata, Aves, Passeriformes, Motacillidae. The transcript is spliced from 3 exons. The record is from RefSeq and is a predicted model, not a curated record.